GGCAGCAGUGGGGAAUUUUCCGCAAUGGGCGAAAGCCUGACGGAGCAAGACCGCGUGGGGGAAGAAGGCUCUUGGGUUGUAAACCCCUUUUCUCUGGGAAGAACACAAUGACGGUACCAGAGGAAUCAGCAUCGGCUAACUCCGUGCCAGCAGCCGCGGUAAGACGGAGGAUGCAAGCGUUAUCCGGAAUGAUUGGGCGUAAAGCGUCCGCAGGUGGCAGUUCAAGUCUGCUGUCAAAGACCGGGGCUCAACCUCGGAAAGGCAGUGGAAACUGAACAGCUAGAGUAUGGUAGGGGCAAAGGGAAUUCCUGGUGUAGCGGUGAAAUGCGUAGAGAUCAGGAAGAACAUCGGUGGCGAAGGCGCUUUGCUGGACCAUAACUGACACUCAGGGACGAAAGCUAGGGGAGCGAAUGGGAUUAGAUACCC
RNAcentral lists this ribosomal RNA (426 nucleotides) under uncultured cyanobacterium. Its description in RNAcentral is "bacterial SSU rRNA". It matches the Rfam family "Bacterial small subunit ribosomal RNA", at positions 347 to 787 of the family's 1533-position model. The record is from RNAcentral. Lineage: Bacteria; Bacillati; Cyanobacteriota.